Molecule: long non-coding RNA, 1339 nt
Organism: Ornithodoros turicata
Lineage: Eukaryota; Metazoa; Arthropoda; Arachnida; Ixodida; Argasidae
Exons: 2
Source: RefSeq, a predicted model, not a curated record
UGCAAGCACGUUGGUUGUGGCAUUCAAGGACGGAUGAAGAAGAAGAUGGCCCGUCAUGCAUUCAUUAUGCCCGCCAUACAUUCAUUUACUGUGCGCUGAAAUCCUCGUAAAGUGGUCUCUUCUUGCAUGUUGACGCCUGGUCCAUAUGAGAAUACAGCUGCUUAGUGCCUCGGCGGGAGUUCAGCGAAGUCUAUGCUGCAGUUCGGAAGACUCGACCGUGUCGGGCUCACGUCGCAAGUGAUCUGCAUAGGCUAGUAUACCUUAUGUGCUUCGAAAGUUCCUUGAAGUUGCGCAGACAAGGACUACUAGAUCCGUCGAGCAGUGUAUCUGGGGGUAAGUCUCCCUGGGCACUCGGUUGCCCUGCGACGUAAAACCACGGAGGUGGCCACCAAGAGAUAAAUCUCAAGGAAUAUGUGGUAUCAUCCCAGUAGUGUACUCAUGGACGGUUUCGUUGGGGAAUUUGUUCCCGAUGUGGUUCACUUGUACCCUUGUUUUGACGCCGCUGAAGAUUUUGAAGCCUUGUUGUAGCCGCUGAGGACUUGCUGUGAAUAGUAUCAUGUAUCGAUAUUGUCACCAUCGAUUUCCUCCUCUACGAACGACUACUAUGACAUGCUCUGUUUACUGAAGCUGGUGUAGGCAACUUGGAUCAUAUUUUCCGAUUUUGGAAAAAACGGGGUUGCCAGCUCGAUACCUCAGAGAUGUAUAUGACGAGGCAAAAGCCGUUGUAGUGCAGACAAGAUAGACUCUGGCACCCUGGUUUGACGCUAUCAUCAGCGUUGAAGCUGUCGAAGAGACUUGCUGAGAACAGUGUCCGGGUCGUACCCAUACCGUCGUCGUCGAUUUCUUUUUAGCAAUACUUGCUUGCUGUUCUCCCAGCUAUGCCCAAACAGCUGACUCUGUUUUCCGAUGCUAGUGGUUACGGCAUGCACCAUAUUUUCCGAGUUCGUAGAACUGGGGCUGCUAUAUAGCUCUGUUAACGCUGGGGCGGCAUAGUAGAGGGGAUGUUAUAGUUUCUGGUAUCCCGAUCUGACACCAGAACAGUGUUGAAGCUGCCGAAAAAGUGCCGCGAACAGUAUCAGGGCACGUCUAUACUGCUGCCAAAGGUUCUCAUUUUCUUUUUAGCCGUACUUGUGCGCUGUUCUCUCAGCUACUUCUCUUUACAGCCAGGCCUGUUUCCUGAAGCUCAUCUAGGCGGUGUGCACCAUAUUUUCCGAGUUUGUAGAAACGGGAGUUGCUCGAUCAGGUACCUCUGAUACGUAUGAUGAAAACAUUGCAGAGUGGAACCCUGACUUGACGCCGGAACAGUAAUGAGGUCGCCAAAGACUUCCUGCUGACAGUA